AGACAGCGUCGGUAUUCCAGCUCCAAUAGCGUAUAUUAAAGUUGUUGCAGGUUAAAAGGCUCGUAGUUGAAUUUCGGGAUCAAGGAAUCGGUCAUGCCUCGGUAUGUACUGGUUUUAUUGGUUCUCACCUUCUAAAGAACCAUGAUGUCAUUCAUUUGAUGUUAUGGGGAAUUAGGACUGUUACCUUGAAAAAAUUAGAGUGUUUAAAGCAAGCUUACGCUUGAAUACAUUAGCAUGGAAUAAUGAAAUAGGACAUCCGAUUCUAUUUUGUUGGUUUCUAGGAUCGAUGUAAUGAUUAAUAGGGAUAGUUGGGGCAUUAGUAUUCAAUUGUCAGAGGUGAAAUUCUUGGAUUUAUUGAAGACUAACUACUGCGAAAGCAUUUGCCAAGGAUGUUUUCAUUAAUCAAGAACGAAAGUUAGGGGAUCGAAGACGAUCAGAUACCGUCGUAGUCUUAACCAUAAACUAUGCCGACUAGGGAUCGGAUGAUGUUAAUUUUUAAUGACUCAUUC
Molecule: ribosomal RNA, 509 nt
Filed under: uncultured Glomus
Lineage: Eukaryota; Fungi; Glomeromycota; Glomeromycetes; Glomerales; Glomeraceae
Description: SSU rRNA
Rfam family: Eukaryotic small subunit ribosomal RNA
Source: RNAcentral